Meriones unguiculatus (Mongolian gerbil) is the source of this 489-nucleotide long non-coding RNA. RefSeq lists it as uncharacterized. The transcript is spliced from 3 exons. The record is from RefSeq and is a predicted model, not a curated record. NCBI's taxonomy places the organism in Eukaryota, Metazoa, Chordata, Mammalia, Rodentia, Muridae.
CUGGCAGACGUGGCCAGGGAUGGGGGUGGACCACGGUGGAGGUUAGCCUAGCAAGAAUAUACGUUGGCGACGCUGACACUGGCUCACCAGCAAAGCAAGGAAGAGGUGGACAGAGGUCAAGGAAGACGAGAGUGAGCGAGGAACACCUGGAAAUGAGUUCUGGAGAAAGAAAUGAAACUGACGGACGCUCACUCAUCUAUAACCUUCCGUCAAAGGGCUUAAGCGGAAGAGGCAGAGGCUUGACCGUCACUGUCAUCAGGCAACCCUGGGGGCCAACCAUCCCGAGUCUAGUGUAAUCUACCCAAAGCACGUGUUGGGGGUUUCUCCGUAUAGCUGCCCUGGGAGUCCUGGAACUUGUUUUGUAGACCAGGCUGGUUUGAAUUCACAGAGAACCACCUGCCUCUGCCUCCAGAGUGCUGGGAUUAAAAGUGUAUGCCACCACGCCCAGCUUGAUUCAUAUUCUUGACCAUUCUUGCACUCACCUUGAGC